CAGUAGCCGCGGUAAUACGAAGGGUGCAAGCGUUAAUCGGAAUUACUGGGCGUAAAGCGUGCGUAGGCGGCUUCUUAAGUCGGAUGUGAAAUCCCUGAGCUUAACUUAGGAAUUGCAUUCGAUACUGGGAAGCUAGAGUAUGGGAGAGGAUGGUAGAAUUCCAGGUGUAGCGGUGAAAUGCGUAGAGAUCUGGAGGAAUACCGAUGGCGAAGGCAGCCAUCUGGCCUAAUACUGACGCUGAGGUACGAAAGCAUGGGGAGCAAACAGGAUUAGAUACCCCGGUAGUCCCUGUCUCUUAUAC
RNAcentral lists this ribosomal RNA (301 nucleotides) under uncultured bacterium. RNAcentral describes it as "partial 16S ribosomal RNA". It matches the Rfam family "Bacterial small subunit ribosomal RNA", at positions 509 to 807 of the family's 1533-position model. The record is from RNAcentral.